This 348-nucleotide unclassified non-coding RNA is filed under the name soil metagenome. Its description in RNAcentral is "partial contains 5.8S ribosomal RNA, internal transcribed spacer 2, and large subunit ribosomal RNA". The stretch from base 1 to 120 matches the Rfam family "5.8S ribosomal RNA", at positions 35 to 154 of the family's 154-position model. The record is from RNAcentral.
GAUGAAGAACGCAGCGAAAUGCGAUAAGUAAUGUGAAUUGCAGAAUUCAGUGAAUCAUCGAAUCUUUGAACGCACAUUGCGCCCGCCAGUAUUCUGGCGGGCAUGCCUGUCCGAGCGUCAUUUCAUCCCUCGAACCCCUCCGGGGGGUCGGCGUUGGGGAUCGGCACUUACCUGCCGGCCCCGAAAUACAGUGGCGGUCUCGCCGCAGCCUCUCCUGCGCAGUAGUUUGCACACUCGCACCGGGAGCGCGGCGCGUCCACGGCCGUAAAACAACCCAAACUUCUGAAAUGUUGACCUCGGAUCAGGUAGGAAUACCCGCUGAACUUAAGCAUAUCAAUAAGCGGAGGA